RNAcentral lists this long non-coding RNA (10156 nucleotides) under Mytilus galloprovincialis (Mediterranean mussel). The record is from RNAcentral. Lineage: Eukaryota; Metazoa; Mollusca; Bivalvia; Mytilida; Mytilidae.
CAAUUAACUGCUGAAAUUUGUCUGGUAUUGUAAUCACACGGUCAUUUAACUAUCUUUCCGAGUGAAAAACUACAACAAAAUGUCAAGAUGUCUUCAUGUUAUGUAGAUCAUGUAAUGUACUUUCGACAAAAGAUGAUUGUAAGAAUUUUCUCCGCUAGUGAUCAUGAGUACAUACUAUGACUGAGGAUAUACCAGAAUGUAUAAGAAUUUGUGUUUAUUUUGGAAGACAAAUUAUUGCUUAAUCUUAAUCGUAACACAAUUUUUAUUGGUAAGUAAAAACAAUAAGUUUGAAUUAUUACAUUGUCACAGUAUGGAAAACAUAUUAAGUUAUUGGAAAACAUGUAUUAUUGACUAAUUAUAUGUAUGUAAAGAUAUGUCAUAAUAAGAUCUUUAUCGAUUGAAAAACUUUUACACAUCAAGGCCAUUCGUCACAAUCCAGCGUUAAUCCUUUAAAAAAAUAAAAUCCAUGUUUCGUAAUUUUGACAUAAAUUUUUAAUACUUUUUGAAUGGAUAGAUAUAUUUUUACUUAAUUAAAUCUAUUGUUAUGUUUAUGCCCCCGAAUGGACUUGUUAGAAUAAACAACAAUCAGUCAAUAUUGGGGCCGUCAAUAUUACACUUUAUUAUUGUUGUUUAUGAUUAAUACUAGUUUGAUGACUUACAUCGUAUUUGUCAGAUCGGACACAUGUCGCCAUAAAACGAUUGCUUUGUAAGAUUGGUAAAAAGUAAGUUCAUUUCUUAUCUUUACUUACUGUUUGUUUAUUAUUAUAUUGAUUAAGAUUAUAAAACAAUAUUAAAUGAUGUACCCCUUUUUAAAAACUUUUUUACCUUUAAUGUCUGUUUUCCUGUUCUCACAAUAUAAUGCAAUUGUAUGAGACUGUUAUAGAAGUGAAUGGUUUAGUUAGCUAUUACAAAAAUGUACACCAGUUUUAAUUAACCAUUUUCUACAUAAGAGCCUAUACUAAGUCCCGAAUAUAUCAGCUGUUUAUCAUUCGUUUUAUAUAUUCCAAUCUUUUGCCAUUUGUUAAAGGACUGUGUGCCUUGAUUUGACCUUGGAGUUUGGUAUUUUGUAAUAUUUUACUUUUUACUGGGGCUGGUUUGCUGUUUCAAAUAUUUUGUUAAUUGCUAGUGAAGUUACAUGUGUACCUUUGCCUUUUGGAGUUUAUUCUGAGCCUCAUAUUCUUUUCAAAACAUUUUUAUUGAAUCAUUUCGAUAUAUUUAGUAGUUUUAAUUUCUUAUAUUAUAUCUGAUAAAGGAAUCUCACAAUUUCAUCUUAAAUUAUUUUGCAAAUGAAUAACCAAAGUUUUAGUUGUCAAUGUCCCGUUUUAAAAAUAGAUGUUACUAAUAGUACUAUCGAUCUAUAGCUGACUAUUAGUGCAAGACAGUUUACACUGUGAAAGUUCGUUCAGAUUUUAUAUAUGUUUACAUCAACUUUAAAAUCUUCUUUUAAUAGAUGAAACCGUUUUAUCUAACCGGAACUUCUAAAGGUGCAAAAUAAUUAAACAAACAUUACAUCAAUCCAAUCUACUUUAUUAAUGUACUAUUAAGGGAAUAUUUGCAUCGGUAUAAAUGACAUGAUUCAAAAAGAUUUAAAUAACAUAUCAUACAAAUGUAUAACCAUUUGUGAAGCUUAAUACUGCGCCCAAAUACGUAGGUCCUUAUUUCGACAACUAAACGAUAAUCACCUCUUGUACAGAUGGAAUACCUUUCCAUUCUACGUUUGUUUAUUUUCCUUUCACUUUUGAACGUCAUCAUUAGGGUUUCACAGUACAGUAGUCCAUGAAAAAUACAUAACUACACUUUAAAAGCAUUUAAGGCUUACUAUCUAAAUGGAUAGAUGUCUCAAUUGAAAUUAUUCCACAUCUACAUAUUUUUAAAUGGUUUCAAACACAAAAUACUCACACAGAGGCCUAUUUAUAACACGAUUUCACUUAUGCUCCUGUUUGUCUUUUGUUAUCGAAUUAUAUUUUUUUUAAAUAUAUACAGCUUAGAAUAUAUGUAUAGAACAUCAGAAGUCUAUAAGUCUAUUACUAGGGUAAAGGUCUUCUGCGAUAAGAUUAUUUUAAUCCCAUUGAUUAGGCAAAUCGAAUCAUUGCAACAAAAAUUAGCAAAAAGGUAGUUUGAAAAAAUAUAUGAACGUAAAAAAAUGAUUAGAGGAAUAGAUUAAAAAUUAUACAAAAUAUAAACUUUUAUCAAAUAAACAAAUCCUCUCUAAAGAAAAAAUAAUAUGGAAAAUAGAAAAGCAGGCAUCGUAAUCUCCAACAAACGCUGAAGUUGACAUGAACCGAAACACUUAGCUCCAUCCUUUACUUUGACAAAACAAACAAACAAAAUGAAUAAGUUAUUAAUUAUAAUUAUUCACGUUUGUAAAAUGUUUGAAACUAAGUGUUCGGAAGCUUAUCGAUCAUUGCAUUUAAAUUGGUUGCAGACCGAGCGAUAUAAAAUAACGAGAGAAUCGGACAAAUGUUUAUCAUUUUACAAAGAAGAUGAUGUAUACAUCUCACUCAUAAUAGUACAACUAAUUAUAAAUCAUACAUGUAUUACCGCACGCCGAAGAUAUGCUUAAUGCAGUGAUAACUCAGUGCAUGCUGUCUUAUCCAUAUGUUUUCUUAUUUGUGUUGUACCUGUGUGAGGAGGGUUGAUUCUAACAUUAAAUAAAUUCACACUCUCUGUACCAUCACUCUUCUCGUCUGAAAAAAAAGCUUGUCAGUUAAAAAGAGCGAUGGAAAAUCCCGUUUGUAAAUAAUGGAGGGUCUGGAAUUUCUUGAUUUCUGUAAUCUUUUCAUUUUUAGGUCAUUUUUGCUUCUUAUCUAUAUUAUGCUUUGCUCGGUAUUCUCUAUAUAUUGUCUAUACUUUAUAUGUUAAGCACUCCAUUAUUUUCCACCUCUCUUCCCACUUUUCUGUAGUACCAGAAGUCUCUCUACUGUAAAAUCCAUACAACAAUUAUCGAAAACUGUUGUUAGGCCCUGUUUACCAGACUUCAAAGUCAAAAUGUUUACCCCCGUUUCAGAAGUUUAGGAUGAACAUUUCUCAUUAAUGACUGCUCUCUAUUGAGAAUCGAGAUAUCACAAUCCCUCUCUAACAUACGUAACAUACGAAUACUUCUUUCGAUUCCCUUCAAUGACCAUACAAAAAAUAAAUAGAAAGAAAAAUUAAAAGUUGAACUAAGUAACUGUGAUUAAAACCAGCAAAGUGAUUUAUUUUAUGCUUAUUCAAAUUGAAACUAUCGUCAACAUUUUCGUUACAUUCCAUUGAAUUUUAUUGACAAAUAAAACUUCAAUAGGUAAGGAAAUAUAAAUAUCAGGUGGAUUGCAAUUACACAAGAGAAAUCAUGACAGAAAUUCUAUUUUAUUAAUGAGGUUUGUUUCUAAUUAAGUGUAAUUACAGCACUGUUUCAUCAGUGUCAUUGCAAAUAGUAUCGAGAAAGUAGUUGAUUUUUUUAUACAACGUUUCAUCAGUGCUCGCCAAUAUUUAAAAGAAAAAAAAACAAGCUAAUAAAUGAAAAAAGAAAUCAUUGGAGGAUGUAAAAGAUAAUCUGACAUGGAGGUUUGUAAUUUUCAUUUUAAGAUUUCUUACAAAUUACUGAUAUUUUGCUUUAAACCUUAGAAUGUUAAUUAACAUUUCUGCUAAAGCUUAAGAAUGAUUUCCGUUGUGUUAUAUACAUUUUAAUGUCGAAACUUGCAUUUGUAUUUGUGGUAUUUGUAUUUUUUUCCAUCUGAUGAGUUAAGUCUUUUUCAACUGAUUUCUAUAGUUUGUUUGUGUUGUAUUGUUGCACCGCUGUCCCAGGUUAGGGUUGGGGUAAAGGGGGAUCUCGCUAGCAUGUAUGACCCCGCCACAUUGUCUAUGUGUGUGCCUGUCCCAAGUCAGUAGCCUGCAAUUCAGUGGUUGUCGAUUGUUUAUAUGUUACAUAUUAGUUUUUCGUUAAUUUUUUUGUACAUAAAUUAGGCCGCUAGUUUUCUCCUUUGAAUUGUUUUACAUUGUCAUUCGGGUCCUUUUAUAGCUGACUAUGAGGUAUGAGCUUUGCUCAUUGUUGAAGACCAUACGGUGGCCAAUAGUUGUUAAUUUCUGUGUAAAGUCGUCUGCUGAUCCAAAAAACGUCAAUGUAUUGUAAAACUCUUAUGUUGAUUUACAUGUAUGUAUGCCUUCAACCCAUAUGGAUAAAAAUGUGCAUUUAUAUUCAAUAAAUGGUUAAUAAUUAAGGUCUUUCCUUUCUUAAAUGGAAAGACCUUACUGUAUUUCGUUUGUUUAUUAUUAAGGUCUUUCCUCUCCGCGAGGAAAGACCUUAUUGUUUUUCUCCUGUUUUUUUUUUUUUUUUUUUUUUUUUUUUUUUUUUUUUUCAUCCAGCAUUUGUUUGACAUGGCCUCCCCUCCUUUCUAUUGGAGUUAUCAAGACCAAAUAUGGACCAUCGGUAGACCUCAUCAUGAAGUAUUAACAGAUGAGGCUGUGUAGGAUUUCAUCAUCCCCUUUAGAAGUUAUCUCCCUUUUAUUGGUUUUUUUUCGACAUGGCCCCCCCUCGUUGUUUUUGAAGAUAUCAUGACCUUAUUUGGACAACAGUUAGAUCUUAUCAUGAUGUGUUACCAUAUGAGGCUGCUAAGGAUUUCAUUAUUCCCUAUGAGAGUUACGUCCCCUUGAAGCAAUUUCUUUCUUUUACAUUUUUCUCAAAAAGUAUUCAAGAUAGAAUUGAUUUGAAAACUGCAACAUGUACAAGACCAGAUGGCAAUGAUAAUGAACAUAUACAAUCAUUUUGUUGUUAACCCUUAUAAGGAGUUAUUUCCCUUGAAAAAUAUUACACAAUUUUUGAAAAAUUGUAUCUCCAGAACCGGAUGUCGUAAAGACUUGGGACCUACACCAAUAAUCUUAAGUUCAUGUGACCUUUAAUUUCAACCCAAGGUCAAAGGUCACCAAGUGCAAAAAAAAAUUACGCUGCAAUUUCAAGCUUGCAUAUUAAGAAAACGAUAAGAGUUUGCUGCAUACUUACAGAGUAUAAAAUGUUCCUCUCUAUGAGCUCUACAUUUUAUACACUGAGCUCAAAAGUGUCCGACUGUCUGUUCAAAAGUUACGACAGGAUGAUUAUUAAAAGUAUAGUAUUUUGUGUAUAUCUUUUUAAAGGUAACAGAUAUCAACUUACUAUAAACUGCAAAGAUGAUCAGUAAUUCAAGACCUUCAAUUUGAGGUCAAUGUCAGGUCAUGAUGAAAUUUCACCUUGACCUUCACAUUAUACUAUGACCUUGACCUUGUGAUAUUUGAAAGGUCAAGUGGUCCUGAGUUGAAUGGUGAUAGUCCCAUAUCUCUACGACUUCCGGUUCUGAAGUUUGGUAUUGCAUCAUAUAUUUGAUGAUUAAUUGUGACCUUGGUGAACUUUGAAAUUGUCCAAAUUCUUUUUCUAUGAUGUUGUCCUUUAACUUAGAUCAUUUACCAUUUAACAGAUUUGAGAUAUCUAUUGUCGUUUUAGAGAUAAUCCAGUUUGAAAUUUUCCGAGCGGCGGCAUGUAUUUCUGAAUCAACAACAGCUUACCACUUAAAAUGUUUAGAAAUUGAAGAGGUUAAUAUAGUUAUAUGUUUGACCAAAUACCAAAAACAUUCCAUGGAAAAAAACGCCAAAAAUUCAAUUUGAAAUUUUCAAGUUUUGCAUUGACUUUGUAAGUUUCAUAACUUCUAUUUAUAUAGUUGAUAUUGCAUCAUUUUUUGCACUUUGUCAAAUGGGGUCAUCUGAUAUAUCAAAUUGAAGGUCUAAAUGUACUCUACUUAAAAAUGAAAAUUUUAAACCCCCUUUUCAUCCCAGGGGGACGGGUGGGGUCAUUUAGUGCAAACAUUCAAAUUUCUCAGAUGGUAAGGUUGUCGCAUAUCAAAUGAAAGAACAUAAAGCGUACAUUUCAAAUUUCAAAUUGACGUCUCCCAAAAAUGGGUUGGAUGGGUCAUUGAGUGCAAAAAAUAAAUGUUCUUUUAAGGUAGGGUUGUUGUAUAUCAAAUGAAAGGUCAUGAUGUGUACAUUUGAAAUAUCAAAUUCCCGACCUCCAAAAAUUUGUUGGAUAGGGUUAUUAAGUGCAAAACUCAAACUUUCAAGAACAUGGUGUUGUCGCAUAUCAAACGAAAGCUCAUCUACUCUGUUCCAUAUAUCAUAAUUCCGAUCUCAAAAAUGUAGACGGAUGAGGUCAUUAAGUGUAAAAAGCGAAAAGUUUCAGAAGGUGUGCUUGUCGUAUAUCAAACGAAAGGUCGUACAAAGUACAAUACGAAAACAUCACUUUUACAGGAAAGACCUUUCAAUUGUUUUACAAACAAUUGAGAUACUAGUUAUUAUUCUUUUUCUUCCGCCGUUUUUCAAAGUUAAUCGGUGAUAAAAGUACGCAAGAUAUCAAAAUGAUCUUUGGUAUCAAGUAUCGGGUUAAUAAAAGCUAUCUUGUAUUAGGGGCACCGAAGUGUACUAUUUACUUUAUAGGAGUUAUCUCCCUAUUACAAAAAAACACUGUUAUUUUCGCUUCAUAAACUAUAAGACUUAGUGGCAAAUGUUUUUUUUUAAAAUGUUCCUUGCCAAAUAAUACAAGUUCAAAUAAUUUUAACCGAAGCGAUCCGGUGACUUAUUAUAGGAGUUAUUUCCCCUUGAAUAUUUUAAUUUUCGAUAUGCAUAUAAAUCUCAUGAACCGUAAGUCGUAAAGACUGCGGGUCUUCAGAUUCGAGUUCAUUGGACCAAAACUUGAAAAUAUAGGUCAAGGUCAAAGGUCAAGGUCAUAUUUUAGAUUUUCAAAAGUUUUUCAUUUCCCUAUAACUAUUGAACGGUUAUAGAUACAGAAAAUUUAAGCAGUGAAAAAUGCUUGGUACUUCAAGGGGCAACUUUUUUACAUUAUGACUAUAUUGAUUUUACCAUCAUGUAAGGGACAUAACUCCCAUUGAUGGUUUUUAAAAGCCAUUUUUAGGCAAAACUCUUAAACAAAAGGUCCUUGACCCAUACGGUCUUUUGCAAUGACCUUGUGGAGCAAUGACCUUGACGAAGGUCACAAGGUCAAAGGUCAAGGUCAUCAAAUUAUGUGUUUUUGGCACUAUUUCAACAGUUUAUGUGUGUUUGAAUUCCAAUCAAUCAAUCAAUGAAUCAAUCAAUCAAUCAAUCAAUCAAUCAAUCAAUCAAUCAAUCAAUCAAUCAAUGCACGUUUCCGUUCAUGUGUUUAAUACUGGAUCCAAGGUCUCUUUUUUUCGCUUGUUUUAAUUGACCCUUUCCAACGUGUUUAACCAAUCAACGUGUUUAAGCAACAUGUUUAACCAACGUGUUUAAGUAACCAACCAACGUGUUUAACCAACCAAUCAAUCAAUCAAUCAAUCAAUCAAUCAAUGCAUGUUUCUGUUUCAUGUGUUUCAUACGGGAUCCAAGUUUUUUUUUCGAUUGUUUUAAUUGAGCCUAUCCAACCAACGUUUUUAACCAACGUGUUUAACCAACAUGUUUAACCAACGUGUUUAACCAACCAACCACCAACCAACCAAUCAAUCAAUCAAUCAAUCAAUCAAUCAAUCAAUCAAUGAAGUUUCCGUUUCAUGUGUUUCAUACGGGAUCCAAGUUUUUUUUUCGCUUGUUUUAAUUGAGCCUAUCCAACCAACGUGUUUAACCAACGUGUUUAACCAAAAUGUUUAACCAACAUGUUUAACCAACGUGUUUAACCAAUCAAUCAAUCAAUCAAUCAAUCAAUGCAUGUUUCCGUUUCAUGUGUUUCAUACGGGAUCCAAGUUUUUUUUCUCGAUUGUUUUAAUUGAGCCUAUCCAACCAACGUGUUUAACCAACGUGUUUAACCAACAUGUUUAACCAACAUGUUUAACCAACGUGUUUAACCAACCAACCAACAAUCAAUCAAUCAAUCAAUCAAUCAAUCAAUCAAUCAAUCAAUGAAGUUUCCGUUUCAUGUGUUUCAUACGGGAUCCAAGAGUUUUUUUCGAUUGUUUAAUUGCCUAUCCAACCAACGUGUUUAACCAACGUGUUUAACCAACAUGUUAACAACAUGCUUAACAACGUGUUUACAACAACCAACCAACCAACAACCAACCAACCAAUCAAUCAAUCAAUCAAUCAAUCAACCAAUCAAUCAAUCAAUCAAUCAAUCAAUCAAUCAAUCAAUCAAUCAAUCAAUCAAUCAAUCAAUCAAUCAAUCAAUGAAGUUUCCGUUUCAUGUGUUUCAUACGGGAUCCAAGUUUUUUUUCCGCUUGUUUUAAGUGAGCCUAUCCAACCAACGUGUUUAACCAACGUGUUUAACCAACAUGUUUAACCAACGUGUUUAACUAACCAACCAACGUGAAUAACCAACCAAUCAAUCAAUGCAUGUUUCCGUUUCAUGUGUUUAAUACGGGAUCCAAGAUUUUUUCCCCGCUUGUUUUAAUUGAGCCUAUCCAACGUGUUUUACCAACCAACGUGUUUAACCAACCAACAUGUUUAACCAACGUGUUUAACCAAUCAAUCAACCAACCAAUCAAUCAAUCAAUGCAUGUUUCCGUUUCAUGUGUUUCAUACGGGAUCCAAGGUUUUUUUUUCGCUCGUUUUAAUUGAGCCUAUCCAACCAACGUGUUUAACCAACAUGUUUACCCAACGUGUUUAACCAACAUGUUUAACAAACGUAUUUAACUAACCAACCAACGUGUUUAACCAGCCAACCAAUCAAUCAAUGCAUGUUUCCGUUUCAUGUGUUUAAUACGGAAUCAGGUCUCUUUUUUUCGCUUGUUUCAAGAGACCCUAUAUCAAGUGUUUAAUUAAUAAACCAAUCAACCAACUAACCAAUAAAUUAAUCAAUCAAUAUAUAUGAUAUUUUAUUUGACAGUUAUAAAGAAAUGGAAGGAAAGACCUAUCAAUUAUUCAAGAAGAAUUGAACUUUAAUUAUACUCGCAUUUCGUUAAUACAAGCACAUAGUGAGGUUAUGCUGAUCAUCUCGUAAGCUUAUUGGAUGUCAAUUAAGGAUCUGGAAACUAAGGUAUACAACUUAAUUUUUAUUAAUAAAGGACAAUUAGUUUGUUUAUAAUAAAGACUGGGUAAAUGGUCAGCUGGCAUCUUGCUUUGUCUGAUAACGGGGUUGUAACAUUUAUUUAUUAAUACGUACAACACACUACAUUUAGCUAUGUAACACAUAUAUGUAUCCCUGUCUUUCUCAUUGGACGGUCGGUCUAAGCUGUUAUUUUCAUUUAACACAAUGUGCAACUAUGUUACAUACACUUGUACAUGGAUCCCUGUCUUUCACAUUGGACGGGCAGGGGCGGAUCCAGCCAUAUUAAAAAGGGGGUCCCAACCCAGGACAAAAGGAGGGUUCCAACUAUAUGUCCCCAUUCAAAUGUAUUGAUCGGCAAAAAAGGGGGUUAUUACCCCCGGACCCCCCCCCCCUGGAUCCGCCAAUGACGGGUCUACCUUGUGGUGUACCGUUAGCUGUUAUUUUCAUUUGACGCAUUUGCAAUUUUCCCGUGCUUUCCUGCUUGAAAUUCAUUACUCACUGUGUAUUGUGAAAAGGUAAGUAUAAAUAUAUUUUUUUUUAAUUUUCUUUUCAUCUUGAAAGACCACCCAUGUCACGUUUGUAAAUGUAAAUAACCCUCCGUUUUUUUAAAUUUUUGUUUUUGACAUUCAAACAACCAAUUCAAUUAAACAUGUUUGGAAUUAAAAAUUUAAGGAAAGAUGAAAAAAGAGGGAGAACACAAAUAGUGUACACAGUAGUUUUAUAAAUAUUUACGUAAUUUAAAGUUUGUUUGAAUUUGCUUUCCGACCGAUUGUCCAGAAUCUUUCACAAUUAAAACAAAUCGUGCGUGCGGGCUCUCCAAUAUUACGGAAAGUAGUUACUUCAAUCCUUACUCUGUUAAACAAAGCACUUUAAAUUUGGCUUUUGUGCUCCCAAAGAUGAAAUAGUUAAGGUUUUAUGGUCCAUAGUCCAGAGAAUAUGACAGGAUUUCUAAAAAAAUCACGUGAAUCAGCGCGUUGAAUUGUUGCACGUCCCGUCGUGUAUAGUACAUUUUUUACUAACUAUGAUUUUGAUAAUAUCACAAUCUCGAUCUCAUCCUAAAUAUUGUCGACUUUGAUAGGCUGCUAGACGCCUUACGUCUGUCGAACAUCUUUGUCUUAUUUUUAAGUGGUGAAAAUGUUAAGGAGACACAAAAUGCAAACCAUAAGUUAUAAGAAAUAAUAGAACAGGAAAAUGAGAAAGACAAACACU